AUGUACCACGAGUGCCUGAGAGUCCAGUCUUCCCCAAGAAGAGACAAGCACGAAGAUCCUAGGAGGAAGCACGCUGACGGGGACUAGUCACGGCCACGACACCUCUAGUGUCAGGUGAGAAACGUGACUCACAGGGCAGGGGAGGAACAGCUGCUUUCUCUGGCCCUGGUGUGCCCAGCAGCAAACCACUGGCAUCUGCUCCCAGGGCAGCCCUGUGGCCCCUCGAGCUGCUGUGUAACCAGCUCCUCUGGGAAAGCACAAGCCCUUGGAAUGCUCUCCAGCUCCCUUGUGAGUAAUUUUCGAGAAGAACACAACUUUGCCAAGAACAUCCCGCAAUCUGGGUGUCUUGUCUUUGAAGACUUUGGAAAAUUUGGAUGACGUGCCUAGCGCCAUAAUUUAUACUUCAGUAGGCCGGUCUUCAUCAAUGCAAUGGAAUCAUCCAUGUGUGGCUCCCGAGGAAAGAAGGUGUGGUUUACUGCCAGGUGCUCUUCAGAGCUGAGUCCCUCUAACAGCAGGCCUGUUAAGGCGUGGCUGCGGCCUGAACCCUCCGGCUGAGCCUUUGCCUCCCAGGUUCCUGGACAUCCUCCACUCACUCCUCUGUUUGUGGGACCCUGCCUGGCCUGUCUGAUCCUCCUUGAGAUUUUGGCCCACAUAUAUCAAUUUCUCUCUGCCCCCAUGCAGUGGUAGUCACCGUUCUGUCCCCCGCGGGUGCUGGUGAGAAAGGUAAAAGGGCGGUUCCAGAGCCUGAGGGCCUGUGAGUGCAGUUUACAUAACUGCCGAAACUUAAGGAAGCGUCUAAAUAAAAAGAAACAUGUUAACCCAAAAUGGUUUAUUUGUUUUUUUUUUUUUUUUGGUUUCCAGAGCUCAUGCAAACAUGCAAAAAAUAGAGUAAGAAAAAAGCAAUUCUUCUCACAAAACAAGCAAGCAAAUAAAAACAAAGCAAAAAAAAAAAUCAUCUGGUGAAAACAAACCCUGCUCCGCAGCCACCUGCCCAACCGUGGAAAUUCAGGUCACGUGAUGGCCUGGGCUGUGUGUCCUCCUCUCAGGCCUGGCGACCCUGGAUCCCAACAGGCAGGGUCUCCUCCACUGGGCCAGGGGCCUCUUAGGCUUUUGCGAUUGACAUCAGCGACUUCUCUCUUGCCUGGACACCCAGGAGACAGCUGGCUAGGAUGCCUAAGGAGACUGUGGGGGAUGAGGUCAGGGCACUCUGGUGCGGGGAUGCCGAGGUCGAACCCUCCAUGGCCAGGGCAGCCAUGUAGCUCCCUCUGGCCUGCAGGGGAGGGUGAGCAGACUCAGGCCUGGGCAAGCGUGUGGUGCCACAGGGCAGCAGGGGUGUGAGUUGCAAGGUCACCUGUGGCUCUGGGCUGCUUUUCCACAGCCAGAGAAGGUUUGGACUCAGUGGCCCAGAGUCUUGAACGAUGGUGCCCCUCCCCAACUUUGCGUGCACUUCAUCUUGUGGGUACAAAGAAGCAUUUUCUUUCUUGUUUUUCAACUUACUCUUCCUCGUGAUUCUGCUAGCAAACAGCCAGGGGUGCUGGCCCGGGCGCUUGGCCGCGCGUGUGUUUGCUGGAGAUGAAGCCUCUCCCUGCAGUUCCAGCCACCGUGCAGCCCACUGGUUUCUUCCCCCUAGGGUGACUGCUUUCCUACAAACAGGAUUUCAUGGCACGCACUCCCAUUUUAUAUUUCAGUCCUCAAAUGGCACAACUAAGUCAGUCUUAGUAAAGGAAAGACAGAUCCAAUUAUUUGGAUAACAGAGAGCGGUGUUGUUCACGUUCAUGCAAAUCAGGCCUCUGGACUCCAUAAGGUUACCUUAAAACCGAAGGAAUGAAGCAAAGAACAAAACAAAACACCAGGGACCUCUGAAGUUCACACAAAAUCCCAGACAGGAACGGGGGGAGCUGCCCACCCUGGAUUGAGGGGAGAGUUUAUUUCUCAAUCUCCUUUUGUUUGCCUGAAGAGCUUCCAAAUGAUCUUAAGAAAGACAGAAGGAAAGAAAAAAGGCAGAGGAGAGGGAGGAAGUAAACCAAAGGAAAAGAAGGCACCCAGAGAUGUCCUUAGAGGGAGCUAUUUACAUCUGAGGCCUAGGUGGUUUGCUUUUAAGAACUCCCUACUAUUUCAUAUUGAUUUAGCACCAGCAGUAAGUGAGCUUCUGUUUGGAUGAUGAAAGCCUAAGAGAUUAAAUCUAUUUACAGGAAGUGAUGGCCUCCACAUUUCUAAUAUUUGUCUAAAGCACCGGGGAAAGGCUGGAGGGAGGGCCUUGGUUUCAGGAUACAGCGUGAGUCAUCCUGGGCAGUAGGCGCUCCCAAAUGGAAUUGCAUCUGAGGCUUUAACACUCUUGUUCCAGUGCUGCGGUUCUUAAUGAGUUGGUGGUGAACACAAGCCUUUGUGGGCCCUGCCUGGCCCAUGCCUUGGUCCUGCCAGAGGCUGGCCAGGAUCUGGAAAGACAGAAUGAGAUCUAGCUCCAACCCCAGAUGCACCCUGCCUCCCUGGGGUGCUGCCUUGCAUCCCUCCCUUUCACCCUGGGCAUUCUCGUCUCUGUCACUGUCAUCGUGCAUUCAUCUGGUGCCGACUUGUGUGUCACGUGUGUUUCAGGGUAACACUGUAGACUCUGUCUAGUGUUGUCUCUCCUUGUUCUUUUCCCCCAUGAUGACUAAUUCAGCCAGGACACCACAGCUAAGGAUUUUUGCACUCUAAAGAACUACCUGAGACUGGGCAAUCUAUAACGAAAAGAGGUUUAAUUGAUUCACAGUUCCACAUGGCUGGAGAGACCUCAGGAAGCUUACAAUCAUG
This 2790-nucleotide long non-coding RNA is filed under the name Homo sapiens (human). RNAcentral describes it as "HSALNT0083444". Lineage: Eukaryota; Metazoa; Chordata; Mammalia; Primates; Hominidae. The record is from RNAcentral.